This 460-nucleotide ribosomal RNA is filed under the name uncultured bacterium. Its description in RNAcentral is "partial 16S ribosomal RNA". It matches the Rfam family "Bacterial small subunit ribosomal RNA", at positions 338 to 795 of the family's 1533-position model. The record is from RNAcentral.
CCUACGGGUGGCAGCAGUGAGGAAUAUUGGUCAAUGGACGAGAGUCUGAACCAGCCAAGUAGCGUGAAGGAUGACUGCCCUAUGGGUUGUAAACUUCUUUUAUAUGGGAAUAAAAUGUUCCACGUGUGGGAUUUUGUAUGUACCAUAUGAAUAAGGAUCGGCUAACUCCGUGCCAGCAGCCGCGGUAAUACGGAGGAUCCGAGCGUUAUCCGGAUUUAUUGGGUUUAAAGGGAGCGUAGGUGGAUUGUUAAGUCAGUUGUGAAAGUUUGCGGCUCAACCGUAAAAUUGCAGUUGAAACUGGCAGUCUUGAGUACAGUAGAGGUGGGCGGAAUUCGUGGUGUAGCGGUGAAAUGCUUAGAUAUCACGAAGAACCCCGAUUGCGAAGGCAGUUCACUGGACUGCAACUGACACUGAGGCUCGAAAGUGUGGGUAUCAAACAGGAUUAGAUACCCUUGUAGUC